Molecule: ribosomal RNA, 301 nt
Filed under: uncultured bacterium
Lineage: Bacteria
Description: partial 16S ribosomal RNA
Rfam family: Bacterial small subunit ribosomal RNA
Source: RNAcentral
CAGCAGCCGCGGUAAUACGGAGGGUGCAAGCGUUAAUCGGAAUUACUGGGCGUAAAGCGCACGCAGGCGGUCUGACAAGUCAGAUGUGAAAUCCCCGGGCUUAACCUGGGAACUGCAUUUGAAACUGUCAGGCUGGAGUCUUGUAGAGGGGGGUGGAAUUCCAGGUGUAGCGGUGAAAUGCGUAGAGAUCUGGAGGAAUACCGAUGGCGAAGGCAGCCAUCUGGCCUAAUACUGACGCUGAGGUACGAAAGCAUGGGGAGCAAACAGGAUUAGAUACCCGCGUAGUCCCUGUCUCUUAUAC